GACGAACGCUGGCGGCGUGCCUAAUACAUGCAAGUAGAACGCUGAAGGAGGAGCUUGCUUCUCCGGAUGAGUUGCGAACGGGUGAGUAACGCGUAGGUAACCUGCCUGGUAGCGGGGGAUAACUCUUGGAAACGAUAGCUAAUACCGCAUAAGAGUAGAUGUCGCAUGACAUUUGCUUAAAAGGUGCAACUGCACCACUACCAGAUGGACCUGCGUUGUAUUAGCUAGUUGGUGAGGUAACGGCUCACCAAGGCAACGAUACAUAGCCGACCUGAGAGGGUGAUCGGCCACACUGGGACUGGGACACGGCCCAGACUCCCUCGGGAAGCAGCAGGAGGGGAACUUCGGCAAUGGACGGAAGUCUGACCGAGCAACGCCGCGGGAGGGAAGAAAGGUUUCGGAUCGGAAAGCUCUGUUGUAAGGGAAGGAAGAGUGUGGGAGUAAAAAGUUCACACUAUGACGGUAUCUUACCAGAAAGCGACGGCUAACUACGUG
This 495-nucleotide ribosomal RNA is filed under the name uncultured bacterium. RNAcentral's name for it is "partial 16S ribosomal RNA". It matches the Rfam family "Bacterial small subunit ribosomal RNA", at positions 28 to 507 of the family's 1533-position model. The record is from RNAcentral.